RNAcentral lists this ribosomal RNA (468 nucleotides) under uncultured bacterium. Its description in RNAcentral is "partial 16S ribosomal RNA". It matches the Rfam family "Bacterial small subunit ribosomal RNA", at positions 28 to 507 of the family's 1533-position model. The record is from RNAcentral.
GACGAACGCUGGCGGCGUGCUUAACACAUGCAAGUCGAACGGAAAGGCCCUGCUUUUGUGGGGUGCUCGAGUGGCGAACGGGUGAGUAACACGUGAGUAACCUGCCCUUGACUUUGGGAUAACUUCAGGAAACUGGGGCUAAUACCGGAUAGGAGCUCCUGCUGCAUGGUGGGGGUUGGAAAGUUUCGGCGGUUGGGGAUGGACUCGCGGCUUAUCAGCUUGUUUGUGUGGUAGUGGCUUACCAAGGCUUUGAAGGGUAGCCGGCCUGAGAGGGUGACCGGCCACAUUGGGACUGAGAUACGGCGCAGACUCCUACGGGAGGCAGCAGUGGAGAAUAUUGCACAAUGGGCGGAAGCCUGAUGCAGCAACGCCGCGUGCGGGAUGACGGCCUUCGGGUUGUAAACCGCUUUCGACUGUGACGAAGCGUGAGUGACGGUAAUGGGUAAAGAAGCACCGGCUAACUACGUG